GGCCAGACUCCUACGGGAGGCAGCAGUGAGGAAUAUUGGUCAAUGGCCGAGAGGCUGAACCAGCCAAGUCGCGUGAGGGAAGACGGCCCUACGGGUUGUAAACCUCUUUUGUCGGGGAGCAAAGCGAGUCACGUGUGACUCAUUGAGAGUACCCGAAGAAAAAGCAUCGGCUAACUCCGUGCCAGCAGCCGCGGUAAUACGGAGGAUGCGAGCGUUAUCCGGAUUUAUUGGGUUUAAAGGGUGCGCAGGCGGAGGUGCAAGUCAGCGGUCAAAUUGCGGGGCUCAACCCCGUCGUGCCGUUGAAACUGACGCCCUUGAGUGAGUGAGAAGUAAGCGGAAUGCGUGGUGUAGCGGUGAAAUGCAUAGAUAUCGCGCAGAACUCCGAUUGCGAAGGCAGCAUGCCGGCUCCACACUGACGCUGAGGCACGAAAGCGUGGGUAUCGAACAGGAUUAGAUACCCGAGUA
Molecule: ribosomal RNA, 465 nt
Filed under: uncultured bacterium
Lineage: Bacteria
Description: bacterial SSU rRNA
Rfam family: Bacterial small subunit ribosomal RNA
Source: RNAcentral